UGGGGAAUUUUACGCAAUGGGGGAAACCCUGACGUAGCGACACCGCGUGAGCGAAGAAGCCCUUUGGGGUGUAAAGCUCUGUCGGCUGGAACGAAAAAAAUGACGGUACCAGCAAAGGAAGCAUCGGCUAACUACGUGCCAGCAGCCGCGGUAAGACGUAGGAUGCGAGCGUUGUCCGGAUUCAUUGGGCGUAAAGAGUUCGUAGGCGGUUUGUUAAGUCUGAUGUUAAAUAUUGGGGCCUAACCUCGAG
This 250-nucleotide ribosomal RNA is filed under the name uncultured bacterium. Its description in RNAcentral is "partial 16S ribosomal RNA". It matches the Rfam family "Bacterial small subunit ribosomal RNA", at positions 355 to 619 of the family's 1533-position model. The record is from RNAcentral.